Non-coding RNA from Drosophila simulans, 112 nucleotides. The record is from Rfam. NCBI's taxonomy places the organism in Eukaryota, Metazoa, Arthropoda, Insecta, Diptera, Drosophilidae.
AGCACGCGGAGGUUUUAGUACGUAGGCAUAAUUCCAAUAGGGCUUAUGAAUCGUGCAUGCCACCUACGAACAGUAGGUGGUAUCUUUUGAAGAUUUUAAUUUUCCUACCGUA